RNAcentral lists this transfer RNA (76 nucleotides) under Holdemanella sp. Its description in RNAcentral is "tRNA-Asn". It matches the Rfam family "tRNA". From Rfam's summary of the family: Transfer RNA (tRNA) molecules are approximately 80 nucleotides in length. Their secondary structure includes four short double-helical elements and three loops (D, anti-codon, and T loops). RNAcentral also lists the same sequence under 1 other name. The record is from RNAcentral. Lineage: Bacteria; Bacillati; Bacillota; Erysipelotrichia; Erysipelotrichales; Erysipelotrichaceae.
UCCAAUAUAGUUCAGUAGGUAGAACGGCGGACUGUUAAUCCGUAUGUCCUUGGUUCGAUCCCAAGUAUUGGAGCCA